RNAcentral lists this ribosomal RNA (439 nucleotides) under uncultured bacterium. RNAcentral describes it as "partial 16S ribosomal RNA". It matches the Rfam family "Bacterial small subunit ribosomal RNA", at positions 338 to 795 of the family's 1533-position model. The record is from RNAcentral.
CCUACGGGGGGCAGCAGUGGGGGAUAUUGCACAAUGGAGGAAACUCUGAUGCAGCGACGCCGCGUGAGGGAAGACGGUCUUCGGAUUGUAAACCUCUGUCUUUGGGGAAGAAAAUGACGGUACCCAAAGAGGAAGCUCCGGCUAACUACGUGCGAGCAGCCGCGGUAAUACGUAGGGAGCGAGCGGUGUCCGGAUUUAUUGGGUUUAAAGGGUGCGCAGGCGGCGUGUCAAGUCAGCGGUAAAAUGUCGGGGCUCAACCCCGGCCGGCCGUUGAAACUGGCGUGCUCGAGUUGGAGAGAAGUAUGCGGAAUUCGUGGUGUAGCGGUGAAAUGCAUAGAUAUCACGAAGAACCCCGAUUGCGAAGGCAGCAUACCGGCUCCACACUGACGCUGAGGCACGAAAGCGUGGGUAUCGAACAGGAUUAGAUACCCUUGUAGUC